UGCAGGGUGGAGGAGUUCGGUCGUCCUCGCCAGCCUCAUAAGCUGGAGAUUCGCGGGUUCGAAUCCCGCCCCUGCUCCCA
Molecule: transfer RNA, 80 nt
Filed under: Actinoplanes regularis
Lineage: Bacteria; Bacillati; Actinomycetota; Actinomycetes; Micromonosporales; Micromonosporaceae
Description: tRNA-Met
Rfam family: tRNA
About the family: Transfer RNA (tRNA) molecules are approximately 80 nucleotides in length. Their secondary structure includes four short double-helical elements and three loops (D, anti-codon, and T loops). Further hydrogen bonds mediate the characteristic L-shaped molecular structure. tRNAs have two regions of fundamental functional importance: the anti-codon, which is responsible for specific mRNA codon recognition, and the 3' end, to which the tRNAs corresponding amino acid is attached (by aminoacyl-tRNA synthetases). tRNAs cope with the degeneracy of the genetic code in two manners: having more than one tRNA (with a specific anti-codon) for a particular amino acid; and 'wobble' base-pairing, i.e. permitting non-standard base-pairing at the 3rd anti-codon position.
Source: RNAcentral